This is a long non-coding RNA of Fukomys damarensis (Damara mole-rat), 562 nucleotides long. RefSeq lists it as uncharacterized. The record is from RefSeq and is a predicted model, not a curated record. The transcript is spliced from 3 exons. Lineage: Eukaryota; Metazoa; Chordata; Mammalia; Rodentia; Bathyergidae.
GCUUAGUGGUAGAGUGCUCCUGGAUUAAAUCACCAGCCCUGGAAAAAAAUAAAACAAAUGUAUAUCAGAAGAUGAAAUAGGCAGAGCGGUUUAGUUGAUCGUUGGGAUAGUAUUAUUUUUGCUUGAUGCAGGGACUGCAUCUCUACUGAACGCUGGUGUGGUGGUCGGAGAUGGGCCUAAGACUUCUGUAUUGGGUAGAAGAAAAUGGCCGGAACCAAGCGACUGCUGGGUGAAGAAAGCGCAUCACUACAGGCCCGGUACUGUGGUGCUUCGAGAGAUUUGUCGUUACCAGAAAUCCACCGAGCUUCUCAUUUGGAAGCUGCCUUCCCAGAGGAUGAAUGAGAAAAGUGACUGUUCACAGACCUCAGUGACAGAAGCACUGUUGCCCAGGAGGGACAGUUGCUGAUAUGCAGAAGGGAUGGGUGAUGUUUCUUGCUUCUCAUGAUGCAUGUUUCUGUAUGUUAAUGGCUUGUUGGGUAGCUAUUAAGGUACUAGAAUUGAUAAAUGUGUACCGGGUCCUUUCACAAUAAAACUGGUUAUGACUCGAUCUAAGUAUUUAACA